Molecule: ribosomal RNA, 446 nt
Filed under: uncultured bacterium
Lineage: Bacteria
Description: partial 16S ribosomal RNA
Rfam family: Bacterial small subunit ribosomal RNA
Source: RNAcentral
UCCCAGACUCCUACGGGAGGCAGCAGUGGGGAAUAUUGCACAAUGGGGGAAACCCUGAUGCAGCGACGCCGCGUGAGUGAAGAAGUAUUUCGGUAUGUAAAGCUCUCUCAGCAGGGAAGAAAGUGACAGUACCUGACCAAGAAGCCCCGGCUAACUACGUGCCAGCAGCCGCGGUAAUACGUAGGGGGCAAGCGUUAUCCGGAUUUACUGGGUGUAAAGGGAGCGUAGACGGUUAUGUAAGUCUGGAGUGAAAGCCCGGGGCCCAACCCCGGGACUGCUUUGGAAACUGUGUAACUGGAGUACAGGAGGGGCAGGCGGAAUUCCUGGUGUAGCGGUGAAAUGCGUAGAUAUACGGAGGAACACCAGUGGCGAGGGCGGCCUGCUGGACAUUAACUGACGCUGAGGCGCGAAAGCGUGGGGAGCAAACAGGAUUAGAUACCCGUGUA